AGUCUUAUAGUCAAAUAUGAUUUUAAAUUGCAAAUUUAAAGGUGAGGACUAACUCUAAGGCUU
RNAcentral lists this transfer RNA (63 nucleotides) under Sternolophus rufipes. Its description in RNAcentral is "tRNA-Cys". Lineage: Eukaryota; Metazoa; Arthropoda; Insecta; Coleoptera; Hydrophilidae. The record is from RNAcentral.